ACGGCGCGGCGCAGGGCUGGACCCCAGACCCCGGCCGGCCCCCGCCCCGCUCCAGCCCCCGCCAUCCGCGCCAGCACCCUGCGUGGUCGGGCAGACGGCGGCUCCCUGCGACCUGGGCCUCCUGUCCUCUGCCGCGCCUCAGGGCCGGGGCCGCCCGCUAGAGGGACAGGCUCUGCCUACGCAGCUGUCUCGCGCGGCGAAGAGCGCCCGGGGCCCGGGGCUGCGUCCUCUUCCCUGAAACCUGGCGCGUAGCGGGGCCUAGUCAGGCUGUUGAGUGAAAGCAAGCAGGGGUGGCGCGGGCCUGGCGCUCAGGUGCGCCCUAAAUGUCUGAUCAUUGCUGGCUACGAGGACGUUCGCGCAGGCUUGGAGGUGCGGGGCACGCUGACAUGUUGCCUCUGGGGUAACCCAGGGACGCGCGGCACACAGAGUUGGAGGACUAGCGACGGGUGCCGCAAGAGGUAGACCGGGAGAUCUCUCAGGGUUCCUGGGGAAGCGAUGACUGUGCAGGGUGAGAACUCAGCGUCUGGCAGAAGGCCAGGAGGGUGACCGGCAGGACCUUCCAAGAACCUGGCGUACCUGGCAACUGGGUUCGCAGCAUUAAGGCGGCAGCAAGGUAGCGGUCAACUUCCCUACCCCACCCCAGUCCUGGUCCCCGUCCAGCCGCUGACGUGAAGAUGAGCAGCUCAGAGGAGGUGUCCUGGAUUUCCUGGUUCUGUGGGCUCUGUGGACAAUGAAUUCUGUGAAGUGGAUGAAAACUACAUCCAGGACAAAUUUAAUCUUACUGGACUCAAUGAGUAGGUCCCUCACUAGUGACAAGCUCUAGAUAUGAUCUUGGACCUGGAGCCUGAUGAAGAACUGCAAGACAACCCCAACCAGAGUGACUUGAUUGAGCAGGGAGCUGAGAUGCUUUAUGGAUUGAUCCACAGCCGAUACAUCCUUACCAACCGUGGCAUUCGCCCAGAUGUUGGAAAAGUAUCAGCAGGGAGACUUUGGCUACUGUCCCCGUGUGUACUGUGAGAACCAGCCAAUGCUUCCCGCUGGCCUUUCAGGGCUCCCAGGUGAAGCCAUGGUGAAGCUCUACUGCCCCAAGAGCGUACACACCCGAGUCACCGCGGUACCAUCACACGGAUGGCACCUGUUUCGGCACUGCUUUCCCUCACAUGCUCUUCAUGGUGCAUCCCGAGUACCGGCCCAAACGACCUGCCAACCAGUUUGUGCCCAUGCUCUACGGUUUCGAGAUCCAUCUGAUGGCCUACCAGCUGUAGCUACAAGCCGCCAGCAACUUCAAGAGCCCACUCAAGACAAUUCGCUGAUUCCCCACCCGACCUGUCUUGCAGUCUUUGACACUUCCUUUCCUUUUUGCCACCUUUUCAGGAACCCUGUAUGGUUUUUAGUUUAAAUUAAAGGAGUCAUUAUUGUGGUGGGAAUAUGAAAUAAAGUGGAAGAAAAGGCCAAAAA
Molecule: non-coding RNA, 1458 nt
Organism: Saimiri boliviensis boliviensis (Bolivian squirrel monkey)
Lineage: Eukaryota; Metazoa; Chordata; Mammalia; Primates; Cebidae
Source: RefSeq, a predicted model, not a curated record